RNAcentral lists this ribosomal RNA (50 nucleotides) under Nanoarchaeum equitans Kin4-M. RNAcentral's name for it is "small subunit ribosomal RNA". It matches the Rfam family "tRNA", at positions 24 to 71 of the family's 71-position model. Rfam says of the family: Transfer RNA (tRNA) molecules are approximately 80 nucleotides in length. The record is from RNAcentral. Lineage: Archaea; Nanobdellati; Nanobdellota; Candidatus Nanoarchaeia; Nanoarchaeales; Nanoarchaeaceae.
CGCCGCCCUUGCAAGGCGGAGGCCCCGGGUUCGAAUCCCGGCGGGUCCAC